RNAcentral lists this ribosomal RNA (239 nucleotides) under uncultured bacterium. RNAcentral's name for it is "partial 16S ribosomal RNA". It matches the Rfam family "Bacterial small subunit ribosomal RNA", at positions 122 to 354 of the family's 1533-position model. The record is from RNAcentral.
UAACCUGCCCAAGAGACUGGGAUAACACCUGGAAACAGGAUGCUAAUACCGGAUAACAACACUAGACGCAUGUCUAGAGUUUAAAAGAUGGUUCUGCUAUCACUCUUGGAUGGACCUGCGGUGCAUUAGCUAGUUGGUAAGGUAACGGCUUACCAAGGCAAUGAUGCAUAGCCGAGUUGAGAGACUGAUCGGCCACAUUGGGACUGAGACACGGCCCAAACUCCUACGGGAGGCAGCAG